RNAcentral lists this ribosomal RNA (253 nucleotides) under uncultured bacterium. Its description in RNAcentral is "partial 16S ribosomal RNA". It matches the Rfam family "Bacterial small subunit ribosomal RNA", at positions 524 to 776 of the family's 1533-position model. The record is from RNAcentral.
GACGAAGGGGGCUAGCGUUGUUCGGAAUUACUGGGCGUAAAGCGCGUGUAGGCGGUUGCCCAAGUCGGGUGUGAAAGCCUUGAGCUCAACUCAAGAAAUGCACUCGGUACUGGGUGACUAGAGGACCGGAGAGGAUAGUGGAAUUCCCAGUGUAGUGGUGAAAUACGUAGAGAUUGGGAAGAACACCAGUGGCGAAGGCGGCUCGCUGGGCCAUUCCUGACGCUGAGACGCGAAAGCUAGGGGAGCGAACAGG